Long non-coding RNA from Talpa occidentalis (Iberian mole), 516 nucleotides. RefSeq lists it as uncharacterized. The record is from RefSeq and is a predicted model, not a curated record. The transcript is spliced from 4 exons. Lineage: Eukaryota; Metazoa; Chordata; Mammalia; Eulipotyphla; Talpidae.
AAGGUGGAGCUGGGCAGUGAGGAGAAGCUAGAGAAGGUAGGGAGGACUGAGAAUAGAGGAAGAAGAAAACAAAAAAUAGUAAGAAAGAGAGACGACCAAAGGAGGCACAUGGAGCGGAGAGAUGUGUGAAAGAGAAGCCAUGUGUAUAUGCUUCUCUGCCUUGAACUGGUACCAGGGACUUGUGGAGCAGGGAAGGAGACACUUGAAAGUGAUAGAAACGUAGGUGCUCAGAGGAGUCCAUGGAGGAAACAAGUGUCAGAUUUACCUAAGUCAGGUAAUCAGAUCAUUGAUAAGCAAGAAACAGGAGCAAAAGAUGUACUAUAGAAGAGGCAGUGAACUGUGAAUUUCUUCUCUCAUUUGACAGAAACCUCUCUUGAUAACUGCCAAAAUGAACCUCAGAAAGCCACUUGGAUUCUGACUCUACUGUUUAGCAUUAAUAUCUUUUAAGCUAUCAAAAUAAAGUGAAAAUUAUGAAUAAUUUACAAGAUCUUCAGGAUUUGACUCAACUGUAACUUU